This 72-nucleotide transfer RNA is filed under the name Salmo salar (Atlantic salmon). It matches the Rfam family "tRNA". Rfam says of the family: Transfer RNA (tRNA) molecules are approximately 80 nucleotides in length. Their secondary structure includes four short double-helical elements and three loops (D, anti-codon, and T loops). Further hydrogen bonds mediate the characteristic L-shaped molecular structure. tRNAs have two regions of fundamental functional importance: the anti-codon, which is responsible for specific mRNA codon recognition, and the 3' end, to which the tRNAs corresponding amino acid is attached (by aminoacyl-tRNA synthetases). tRNAs cope with the degeneracy of the genetic code in two manners: having more than one tRNA (with a specific anti-codon) for a particular amino acid; and 'wobble' base-pairing, i.e. permitting non-standard base-pairing at the 3rd anti-codon position. The record is from Rfam by way of RNAcentral. Lineage: Eukaryota; Metazoa; Chordata; Actinopteri; Salmoniformes; Salmonidae.
UCCCGUGUGGCUCAGUUGAUAGAGCAUGGUGUUUGCAAUGCCAGGGUUGUGGGUUCGAUUCCCACAGGGGAC